GACGAACGCUGGCGGCGUGCUUAACACAUGCAAGUCGAACGGAAAGGCCCUGCUUUUGUGGGGUGCUCGAGUGGCGAACGGGUGAGUAACACGUGAGUAACCUGCCCUUGACUUUGGGAUAACUUCAGGAAACUGGGGCUAAUACCGGAUAGGAGCUCCUGCUGCAUGGUGGGGGUUGGAAAGUUUCGGCGGUUGGGGAUGGACUCGCGGCUUAUCAGCUUGUUGGUGGGGUAGUGGCUUACCAAGGCUUUGACGGGUAGCCGGCCUGAGAGGGGGACCGGCCACAUUGGGACUGAGAUACGGCCCAGACUCCUACGGGAGGCAGCAGUGGGGAAUAUUGCACAAUGGGCGGAAGCCUGAGGCAGCAACGCCGCGUGCGGGAUGACGGCCUUCGGGUUGUAAACCGCUUUCGCCUGUGACGAAGCGUGAGUGACGGUAAUGGGUAAAGAAGCACCGGCUAACUACGUG
This 468-nucleotide ribosomal RNA is filed under the name uncultured bacterium. RNAcentral describes it as "partial 16S ribosomal RNA". It matches the Rfam family "Bacterial small subunit ribosomal RNA", at positions 28 to 507 of the family's 1533-position model. The record is from RNAcentral.